UCGAGCGUCAUUACAACCCUCAAGCAUUGCUUGGUAUUAGGCUCCGCCGCUCACCCGGCGGGCCAUAAAACCAGUGGCGGUGCCGUCGAGGCCCUGAGCGCAGUAAAUUUCCUCGCUAUAGGGACCCGGCGGACGCUGGCCAUCAACCCCCACUUUCUAAGUUUGACCUCGGAUCAGGUAGGGAUACCCGCUGAACUUAA
Molecule: unclassified non-coding RNA, 200 nt
Filed under: soil metagenome
Description: partial contains internal transcribed spacer 2 and large subunit ribosomal RNA
Source: RNAcentral